Long non-coding RNA from Solea senegalensis (Senegalese sole), 976 nucleotides. RefSeq lists it as uncharacterized. The record is from RefSeq and is a predicted model, not a curated record. The transcript has 5 exons. Lineage: Eukaryota; Metazoa; Chordata; Actinopteri; Pleuronectiformes; Soleidae.
UCGAAGGAACUGUUUACAAAGAUUUGGUUGAGCCUCUCGCCAAGUAAUCACCAUGACGCUGACAUUUUUGGUCUUUAGUGAAAUCUCUGUUUUAGACAGAUAGAGUUGGGCUCUAAUAUUCCGUUUCCCCCCUCUGGAUAGAUUGUGUUGAUAGUGAUUCUGUAACUUUCCAAAUGGUGCCAGUAUCAGGUUAGUCCAUUACUUUUGUUCAUAAAGAAAUAUCUGCAAGCAUUAGCGGCAUUUUGUGUAACUCCAUAGCAUGGCUUUGCACUCACUAAGAAAAUAUUUAAUUACUCACUGGUUUUCUCUCUCUGAUGUUUUGUCUUAGUAUGAAAACAGUGUUGACACUGUGGAUUCUUCCAAUGUGUGUUGACUCUUUUGAUGUGUGAAAAGUUCUCAGCUUCUCACUUACUGCUCAUGUUUGUCUCCCACAGUCCCAAAAAAACCUCCAGGUCAGGUGGCGCAGGGAGGGAGGAAGAGCGAGUCGUGUGAAGGCUGCCGCCGAGACCAGUGUUUCCUUUUGCACAAUGCACCCUGGGAACAGCUCCAAAGACGGACCCUGUGACCUUAUAAUCAUCAGCCUCUGAGUCAGAAAAUGUCAUUUCGGGUCAACCGUUGGUGACUUUGGUAUGCAAAGAGCCAGGUGUCGGAGCCGGAGUUGUGCAGUGUAACAGUGACGUCAUGGAGAGGCAAAUUUUAGGAUAAUAAGAGAUGACAGCAUGGAUCAGGCUGUCAUAUCAAGCGGAGAUGCCAAUAAUGAGGUCAUGGCGGUGCUGGGUGAGUGGAGAGUCCUGUCGGCCCCCCCUUUGGCCCUCCUGCACCCAGACAGAGUGGCCUGUGUCCAGUGGAGAAGCAAGUUACCAGCGGGAAUUGAGGUCAGGACGGGCAGGAAAUGGAAAGCAGGCGAGGAACUCGAGGUGGCACAGGCAGGGGGAGCUUGUGGGGAACGUGGCCCGAGGUCGUGCUGGUCUUGGUA